UCGACUGUACUCGAACGGGAUCACUUCUAUAGGCGAUCCGCACGUUCACCGCUACAUCGACAGACAACACCACAAGUCGCGAUGAUGAGACGUGCGUCCUGCCAGACCUUGAAGGGAGGCCCCUCGCCGCAAGGCGGGGCGGCUUUGAUGAUACAGGCAACCGGGCGAAGGCUUGGUUUCCCCUGGCGUGGACGGUUCUGAGCGACA
Molecule: non-coding RNA, 207 nt
Organism: Cyclospora cayetanensis
Lineage: Eukaryota; Apicomplexa; Conoidasida; Eucoccidiorida; Eimeriidae
Source: Rfam